This 717-nucleotide ribosomal RNA is filed under the name uncultured bacterium. Its description in RNAcentral is "bacterial SSU rRNA". It matches the Rfam family "Bacterial small subunit ribosomal RNA", at positions 94 to 814 of the family's 1533-position model. The record is from RNAcentral.
AGCGGCGAACGGGUGAGUAACACGUAGGUGAUCUGCCCAUCAGACGGGGACAACGAUUGGAAACGAUCGCUAAUACCGGAUAGGACGAAAGUUUAAAGGUGCUUCUGGCACCGCUGAUGGAUGAGCCUGCGGCGCAUUAGCUAGUUGGUAGGGUAAAGGCCUACCAAGGCGACGAUGCGUAGCCGACCUGAGAGGGUGAACGGCCACACUGGGACUGAGACACGGCCCAGACUCCUACGGGAGGCAGCAGUAGGGAAUCUUCGGCAAUGGGCGAAAGCCUGACCGAGCAACGCCGCGUGAAUGAUGAAGGCCUUCGGGUUGUAAAAUUCUGUUAUAAGGGAAGAACGACUUUAGUAGGAAAUGGCUAGAGUGUGACGGUACCUUAUGAGAAAGCCACGGCUAACUACGUGCCAGCAGCCGCGGUAAUACGUAGGUGGCGAGCGUUAUCCGGAAUUAUUGGGCGUAAAGAGCGCGCAGGUGGUUGAUUAAGUCUGAUGUGAAAGCCCACGGCUUAACCGUGGAGGGUCAUUGGAAACUGGUCGACUUGAGCGCAGAAGAGGGAAGUGGAAUUCCAUGUGUAGCGGUGAAAUGCGUAGAGAUAUGGAGGAACACCAGUGGCGAAGGCGGCUUCCUGGUCUGUAACUGACACUGAGGCGCGAAAGCGUGGGGAGCAAACAGGAUUAGAUACCCUGGUAGUCCACGCCGUAAACGAUGAGU